RNAcentral lists this ribosomal RNA (705 nucleotides) under Methylobacterium sp. 52AD16. RNAcentral's name for it is "bacterial SSU rRNA". It matches the Rfam family "Bacterial small subunit ribosomal RNA", at positions 166 to 883 of the family's 1533-position model. Lineage: Bacteria; Pseudomonadati; Pseudomonadota; Alphaproteobacteria; Hyphomicrobiales; Methylobacteriaceae. The record is from RNAcentral.
UUACUGGAUAUGUGACGUGACCGCAUGGUCUGCGUCUGGAAAGAAUUUCGGUUGGGGAUGGGCUCGCGGCCUAUCAGCUUGUUGGUGAGGUAAUGGCUCACCAAGGCGUCGACGGGUAGCCGGCCUGAGAGGGUGACCGGCCACACUGGGACUGAGACACGGCCCAGACUCCUACGGGAGGCAGCAGUGGGGAAUAUUGCACAAUGGGCGCAAGCCUGAUGCAGCAACGCCGCGUGAGGGAUGACGGCCUUCGGGUUGUAAACCUCUUUUAGCAGGGAAGAAGCGAAAGUGACGGUACCUGCAGAAAAAGCGCCGGCUAACUACGUGCCAGCAGCCGCGGUAAUACGUAGGGCGCAAGCGUUAUCCGGAAUUAUUGGGCGUAAAGAGCUCGUAGGCGGUUUGUCGCGUCUGCUGUGAAAUCCGGAGGCUCAACCUCCGGCCUGCAGUGGGUACGGGCAGACUAGAGUGCGGUAGGGGAGAUUGGAAUUCCUGGUGUAGCGGUGGAAUGCGCAGAUAUCAGGAGGAACACCGAUGGCGAAGGCAGAUCUCUGGGCCGUAACUGACGCUGAGGAGCGAAAGGGUGGGGAGCAAACAGGCUUAGAUACCCUGGUAGUCCACCCCGUAAACGUUGGGAACUAGUUGUGGGGUCCAUUCCACGGAUUCCGUGACGCAGCUAACGCAUUAAGUUCCCCGCCUGGGGAGUAC